RNAcentral lists this ribosomal RNA (307 nucleotides) under Alcyonacea sp. Unknown2009PCR2B1. RNAcentral describes it as "SSU rRNA". It matches the Rfam family "Eukaryotic small subunit ribosomal RNA", at positions 1313 to 1642 of the family's 1831-position model. The record is from RNAcentral. Lineage: Eukaryota; Metazoa; Cnidaria; Anthozoa.
GUCUGGUUAAUUCCGUUAACGAACGAGACCUUGACCUGCUAAAUAGUCAGACGAUUCUCGAAUCGCUCUCGACUUCUUAGAGGGACUGUUGCGUGUUUAACCAAAGUCAGGAAGGCAAUAACAGGUCUGUGAUGCCCUUAGAUGUCCUGGGCCGCACGCGCGCUACACUGACGAUGGCAACGAGUCGCUCCUUCACCGAAAGGUGUGGGUAAUCUUGUGAAUCAUCGUCGUGCUGGGGAUAGAUCAUUGUAAUUCUUGAUCUUGAACGAGGAAUUCCUAGUAAGCGCGAGUCAUCAGCUCGCGUGAU